Globicephala melas (long-finned pilot whale) is the source of this 2049-nucleotide long non-coding RNA. RefSeq lists it as uncharacterized. Lineage: Eukaryota; Metazoa; Chordata; Mammalia; Artiodactyla; Delphinidae. The record is from RefSeq and is a predicted model, not a curated record.
CCUCCGCAGCCUCAGCCUUAUCCCAUAGAUACCCCAGCCCCUCGCCUUCCGGGAGGGGGAUUUGAGGUUUGCUCUCCCGUCUUCUCCCUUGGCGGCUCGUGAAUAAGCCCUCUCUCUGCUGCAAACCUGGCGUCUCAGCGCACGUGGGUGACUGUCACUUACUGUGUCUUUGCAGACACGCGCCUCCAUCAACAGGGCUGUGUGGGGCUGGGCUGCGGGGCUACGCCUGGCUCCCGAGCCCGGUGUGCUUCACGCCAGCUCUGUGGUCUGGGAGAGUCUCAGCCUGCCUCUGCCUCAGUUUGCUCGUCUGUAAAGUGGGGAGAAUGAAGCGUGAGGCUUGAGCGCGGCCGGCGUUGAUCGAGGGCUGCUGGGAGCCGGCUUCCUCAGGCGCAGGGGUGGCCUGAAGCCCCUGCGCUGCCCCCGGAGUCGGAGGGCUUCCGUGUCGGGACGCGGCCUGUAGCCCUGACACGGGCCUCCCCGCGCUGGUCUCCUCAGGCUCAGCAAACACACCUGGUCGGAAGCGAACAACGUCGCCGCAUCUUCCGUGAACUUACGUCGUGCUUCCGCCUCUGCAGGGCAGAUGAGAAAACUGACGUCCAGAGCUGGGGAAACUUGCUGAGACCGCACAGAUCCCUCGAGCUGCAAACUUGCCUCCCUACCUGGAUGCCCUGAGCUCCCACGGUCUGCGGCGGCUGUUGUGCUGUGUUUCCCCCAUCAGACGGCGUUUCCUGGAGGGCAGCCAGCACAGGACAGAGUGGCCCGUCAAGGUGCAGGGAAGCAGUAUGCAGGUCACUGAAUUUGGAAAGUUACGGAUCUGGGGUCACUGCAGCCUGUCCCCUCCCGUGAGGAGCCGGAGCGCGUGAAACCAAGCAGGGACAAGCAGAGGUUCGGGAUGGAUGGACAGUGCUGGUGGCACGGGAUUUAAAGUCUGCUCCCUGCAGCAUGUGGAGGCCACGUGUCUGAGGCACAUCUCAAAGACUCAUCACAGAGCCCGCCCCGGGCUUCUGGUCAGGAGCAGACAAUGAAACCCAAACCGCAGUGUGCUCCAAGCACUGUUAGGGUGACGUAGCAGGGGGAUAAAAGGUCCGGUAAUCCCCCAUCGGUCCCGGCCGGACCCUGAGGACUCAGGAGGAAACACAGUCACCUGACAUCCCCCUCCUCAGCCUGUACGCAGUGGGAUCCUUUGCUGAACUGGGCUCCUGGGGGUCCGUGACUGUGAACGUGACCAGAUGAGGAAAAGGAGGCUCACAGAAGCAAAAAUGACUGAGACAUGGGCUCCCCUGGUGGCACAGUGGUUAAGAAUCCACCUGCCAACGCAGGGGACACGGGUUUGAGCCCUGGUCCGGGAAGAUCCCACAUGCCGUGGAGCGGCUGGGCCUGUGCGCCACAACUACUGAGCCUGCACUCUAGAGCCCGCAAGCCACAACUACUGAGCCCAUGUCCCACAACUGCUGAAGCCUGUGCGUCUAGAGCCCAUGCUCCGCAACAAGAGAAGCCACUGCAAUGAGAAGCCCGUGCACCGCAACAAAGGGUAGCCCCCGCUCGCCGCAACUAGAGAAAGCCCGCACGCAGCAACGAAGACCCAACGCAGCCAGAAACAGUAAAUAAAUAAAUAACUUUAUUUAAAAAAAAAUGACUGAGGCAGGUCAGAGCCCAGAGCUGCCUGCUCAGCCUGCACCUCCCUGCCCCCACAUCACUGAACACACAUGUCCAGGGCAACAGGGCUCCACCCCACUUCACAGAUGAGGUAACUGAGGCACAGGGGGAGGGGCCCGCUCAAGGUCCCACCGUAAAGAUCUGGAAGAGCUGGGAUUCAAGCCCAGGUCGGGCCGGGCCUCCCGAGCUCGGCCCUCCACCCACCGAGCCCCCCUCUGCAUCUCAACGGCCCGGGUGGGCCUGCAGCAGGUGCUGGGCCAGCAGUGUCCCUUUGUGAGCCCGGGGUAUUGUCCCCUGGACAAAGGCCUCAAUUCCCACUAGCGGCCACCCACACGCUCACUUCUAAGGAUAAAGGAAUCCGCAGCCAGCCGCCCCCCAGCUCCAGAUGGCGGC